CCUACGGGAGGCAGCAGUGAGGAAUAUUGGUCAAUGGUCGGGAGACUGCACCAGCCCAGCCGCGUGAGGGAUGAAGGUACAGAGUAUCGUAAACCUCUUUUGUCAGGGAACACAGGCGGGGCCGCGUCCCCGGAUGAGUGUACCUGAAGCAAAAGCAUCGGCUAACUCCGUGCCAGCAGCCGCGGUAAUCCGGGGGCUGCGAGCGUUACCCGGGUUUCUUGGGUUUAACGGGUGCGCGGGCGCUCGGUUAAGUCACCGGUACAAUCCUGGGGCUAAACCCCGUCCCGCCGUUGAAACUGGCAGUCUCGAGUUGACGAGAAGUAUGCGGAAUGCGCGGUGUAGCGGGGAAAUGCAGAGAUAUCGCGCAGAACUCCGAUUGCGAAGGCAGCAUGCCGGCUCCACACUGACGCUGAGGCACGAAAGCGUGGGUAUCGAACAGGAUUAGAUACCCUUGUAGUC
This 459-nucleotide ribosomal RNA is filed under the name uncultured bacterium. RNAcentral describes it as "partial 16S ribosomal RNA". It matches the Rfam family "Bacterial small subunit ribosomal RNA", at positions 338 to 795 of the family's 1533-position model. The record is from RNAcentral.